CCUCUAGACCCAAUGACUUCUUUUGCCUAGAGCUGAAGGAGUUUGCUACGUGACACCAGGUCAGGCGGGGCUACCCGCUGAGUUUAAGCAUAUC
This 94-nucleotide ribosomal RNA is filed under the name Thesium bergeri. RNAcentral describes it as "partial 28S ribosomal RNA". The record is from RNAcentral. Lineage: Eukaryota; Viridiplantae; Streptophyta; Magnoliopsida; Santalales; Thesiaceae.